This 332-nucleotide long non-coding RNA is filed under the name Coturnix japonica (Japanese quail). RNAcentral's name for it is "lncRNA (ENSCJPG00005000053.1)". The record is from RNAcentral. Lineage: Eukaryota; Metazoa; Chordata; Aves; Galliformes; Phasianidae.
AUUCUGCAUGUGUCUAAUUUUUUCUGUAUGUUGAUCUUUCUCUAUCUGCAGGAGGCACCUGACUUAAAAGAGCAUGCAGACUAAUGACUUUAGUCUUGAAGACUUUUAUUUGCCCUCAUACUGUAGAGAAUUUAGGCACAAUCUGAUUUAUGGAUGAUGUUCUGCAGUGAAAGGACUUCACUGUGGACUACUGUAGACUCUCACAGCACAUUGACAGCUCCUCUCCUUGGAUUCAGUCUUGUCUCAAAUAAUUAGCUCACAUGGACGCACAAAGACAUCUUCAGAAUCCCUGGAACAGCCAUACAAUAAAUGAUAUUUUAAAAGUUGAUUCA